Molecule: ribosomal RNA, 400 nt
Filed under: uncultured Paracoccaceae bacterium
Lineage: Bacteria; Pseudomonadati; Pseudomonadota; Alphaproteobacteria; Rhodobacterales; Paracoccaceae
Description: bacterial SSU rRNA
Rfam family: Bacterial small subunit ribosomal RNA
Source: RNAcentral
GGGGAAUCUUGGACAAUGGGGGCAACCCUGAUCCAGCCAUGCCGCGUGAGUGAAGAAGGCCCUAGGGUCGUAAAACUCUUUCGCCUGUGAUGAUAAUGACAGUAGCAGGUAAAGAAACCCCGGCUAACUCCGUGCCAGCAGCCGCGGUAAUACGGAGGGGGUUAGCGUUGUUCGGAAUUACUGGGCGUAAAGCGCACGUAGGCGGAUUAGAAAGUUAGAGGUGAAAUCCCGGGGCUCAACCCCGGAACUGCCUUUAAAACUACUAGUCUAGAGUUCGAGAGAGGUGAGUGGAAUUCCGAGUGUAGAGGUGAAAUUCGUAGAUAUUCGGAGGAACACCAGUGGCGAAGGCGGCUCACUGGCUCGAUACUGACGCUGAGGUGCGAAAGUGUGGGGAGCAAAC